Molecule: small RNA, 28 nt
Filed under: Bombyx mori (domestic silkworm)
Lineage: Eukaryota; Metazoa; Arthropoda; Insecta; Lepidoptera; Bombycidae
Description: ovarian small RNA-32822
Source: RNAcentral
UGAUGAUAUCUCGACUGUGUUGAGUAAC